GUGGGAGCUGGGAAUGUUUUUGAACUAGUUCUUGAAAAAAAAACUAGUACAAUAGUACAACUGUCUUAAUUUUAUAUAUGAGGAAACUGAGGCCCAGAGAUGAAAUCAUGCCUUGAUUUAUGCAGACCUCAGUACCUGUUCGUGACAAAUCCAGUUACUAAAAGGGUCUUACUAUGUCACCCAGACUGAAGUGCAGUGGCAUGAUCACAGGUCAUUGCAUCCUCAACCACCCAGACUCAAGCAAUCCUCCUGUCUCAGCCUUCCAAGUAACUGAGACCACAGACAAAGCCUCACUCUGUCACCCAGACUGGAGUGCAGUGGUAUAAUCAUAGCUCACUACAGCCUUGACCUCCUGAGCUCAAGCAGUCCUCCUGUCUCAGCCUCCCAAGUAGCUGGGAUGACAGUGUGCACCACCACACCCAGCUAAUUUUUUUUUUUUUGGUCUUGCUGUGUUGCCCGGGCUGGACUCAAGUGAUCUUCCCUUCUCAGCCUCUCAAAGUGCUGGAAUUACAGGCAUGAGCCACCGUGCCCAGCCAGAGAAAUAACCAUGGAUAUGGGUAGAGACAGAGCCAUAUGGAAUGCACACUGCAGUGGUGAACACAUGGCCCAGCUCUGCCAUCAAGGAGAAGGAACAUGAAUGGAGCUGGAGGCCAUCAUCCUUAGUGAACUAACACAGGAGCAGAAAACCAAAUACCACAUGUUCUCAUGUGUAAGUGGGAGCUAAAUGAUGAGAACACAUGGACACAAAGAGGGGAACAACAGACACUGAAGCCUCCUUGAGGGAGGAGGGUAAGAGGAAGGAGAAGAUCAGAAAAGAUAACUACCAGGUACUAUGGUAGCUUAGUACCUGGGUGAUGAAAUAAUCUGUACACCCAACCCUCAUGACAGAAGUUUACCUGUGUAACAAACCUGCACAUGUAUCCCUGAAACUAAAAGUUUUUUAAAAAGUUAUUUAAUAUAUAUAUAUUUUUUUGAGACGGAGUUUUGCUCUUGUUGCCCAGGCUGGAGUGCGGUGGCGCAAUUUCGGCUCACCACAACCUCCGCCUCCCAGGUUCAAGCUAUUCCCCUGCCUCAGCCUCCCUAGUAGCUGGGAUUACAGGCUUGUGCCACCACGCCGGCUAAUUUUGUAUUUUUUGUAGAGACGGGGUUUCUCCAUGUUGGUCAGGCUGGUCUCGAACUCCCGACCUCAGGUGAUCCACCCCCCUCGGCCUCCCAAAGUGCUAGGAUUACAGGCAUGAGCCACUGCGCCCGGCAAAAAGUUAUUUAAUAUUAAUGGGACAAUACUCAUUGCAAGAAUCAGACUUCAAUUGCUAGCAUAAGUAAAUGACAGGCAGGAGAUAUUGAAAAUGCAAUCUUAUAGACAUUCAAGGAGAGGACGCAGGACAUUUCUGUGUCAUAAAUGUACUAUGGAAAAUAAAAAUGAGAAAAAUGGAAAUAAAAUACAAGAAAAGGUUAUGAUAAAUUUCAUAUUAUUUUACCACAAUAAAAAAAUUUUAAUAAAUUAUAAAUGGUGUGAUAUGUUUUGCCUGUGUUCCACCCAAAUCUCAUCUUGAAUUAGAGCUCCCACAAUUCCCACGUGUUGUGGCUGGGACCCUGUGGGAGAUAAUUGAAUCAUGGGGGCAGUUUACCCCAUACUGUUCUCUUGGUGGUGAAUAAGUCUCAUGAGAGUUGAUGGUUUGAUAAGGGGUUUCCCCUUUUGCUUGGCUCUCAUUCUCUCUUGACUGCCACCAUGUAAGAUGUGCCUUUUGCCUUCCACCAUGAUUGUGAAGCCUCCCAGCCACAUGGAACUGUGAGUCCAUUAAACCUUUUUCUUUACAAAUUACCCAGUCUCGAGUAUGUCUUUAUCAGCAGUGAGAGAACAGACUAAUAUGAGUGUGAUCUAAUUAACAUAAAGGGAGAAUGAGGACUAUUGACACCAAAAUAUGAGAUUGGGAUUACAGCUCGUUUUUAUUUUCUUUUUCUGUUUAUCUUUCCAGUUUUCUAAGAUGAAUGUUUCAUAAUCAGAAAACAAAAUUAAAUGUUUCCAGCCCCACAAAAAAUAACCAGUAUUUUACUUUUUUUUUUUUUUUUUUUUUUUCCGAGAUGAACUCUCACUUUAUCUCCCAGGCUAGAGUGCAGUGGUGCAAUCACGACUCACUGCAACCUCCGCCUCCCAGGCUGAAGUGAUCCUCCCACCUCAGCCUCCUGAGUAGCUGAGACUGCAGGAAUGCACCACCACGCCAGGCUAGUUUUUUUAUCUUUUUUGGUAGAGACGGUGUUUCAACAUGUUGCCCAGGCUGGUCUCAAACUCCUGGACUCAAGCAGUUCACCUGCCUCAGCCUCCCAAAGUGUUGGGAUUACAGGCAUGAGCCACCGUGCCCAGCCAUUUACUUUUAAUCUUAGUAAUUUAUACAGAACCAGUUGUCUGGUGUUGUGGUCUCUCCCUACUCUGAGUUGACUGGAUGGUUGUGUAGAUUGGGCUUGGGCACACUGGGUGGAGCCCAGAGCAAGGUGAACCACCUGGAGGCUCCCGUGCCUCAAUCCUGCAGCAGGCACAGGCACGGGACUUUGUUGACAGUGAAAAAGUGCUUGUUGCAGAGAGCCUGAAACAGACGCAAACUCGGGGAAGUGACAGUUACAUGCGCAAAGAGACCUGAAGGAAUCUGUAAGUAUCACCAGCUAACAAGCGACACAGCUCUACCUGUACAUCCUACUUCAGUGCCUUAAUAUAAAGAAAACAAAUACUUCACAAUCAAAUAAUUUGCUGCAAUGUAAAGAAAUUUGUGAAAAUGGUAUAUACUAUGUGGAAUCUAUAUGUCCCCAGAGAUGAGACUGGAAAGACAGUUAUCAUGAAACCAGUCUUUGGCCUUUGGCGGUUUCCAGUUUUUCCACACUUUCAAACACGAGUCCACGUGAGCCAGCCGCAGCCAUUUCAGGAUCAUGUGAAAGGGAUCAUCAUCCCUGGACUCUAGGAAAUUGAGGUGUGGGAAAGGUGAAGGAACUGGCCCUAGGGUGUUGUAUGCAAGUUGGAAGCAAAGAGACAGCUAAGACCACAUCUCCUGAUUCCCAGUCCAAGGCACUUUUAAUGACCUACAAUGCCUGGAAGGAAAGGUGGUAAGAAAUGAUAGGAAAAAGCCUAAGAGCUAAGCUAAAGGAAAGAGGCUGGGAGCACUGACUCAUGCCUGUAAUCCUGGCAUUUUAGGAGGCAAGGCAGGAGGACGGCUUGAGCCUAGGAGUUUGAGGCUACAGAGAGCCAUGAUCACACCACUGAACUCCAGCAUGGGCAACAGAACAAGACCCCAACUCUAAAAAAAAAAAAAAAAAAAAAGUAAAAAGGAAUACUCUAUUGGGAUAAUGAUAAGGGUAAUUUUCCCAUUUCCUCAGCAUAGUGCCCUCUGAAGAUGUGUUCUACAAGAUGGGGGGCAGAGGCACAUACCCCAGGAUGAGAUGGUUUACUAGGAGGUAAAAUAAAACCUUCUAUGGUUCAUUUUGUCGCAAAACGGAGAAUGACUUGGUACCCUCACAUCGUACUACAUUAGACAGCCCAUGGAUCAGGAAUGAUCCAUGUGGUGCCCUGAAUUGGGUGUGAGGGCACCAUAGUGAGAAGGAUGUAGGGCCCACAUGCAUUAGUUUGCACAGACAGGGGUUUACAAGUACCUAAUUAACAUUUUUUUUUUUUUUUUUUUUUUUUUUGUGACACAGAGUCUCACUCUGUUGCCCAGGCUGGAGUGCAGUGGCGCAAUCUCGGCUCACUGCAAGCUCCGCCUCCUGGGCUCAAGCGAUUCUCCUGCCUCAGCAUCCCAAGUAGCUGGGACUACAGGUGCCCACCACCACACCCGGCUAAUUUUGUUUUUGUGUUUUUAGUAAAGACAGGGUUUCACCGUGUUAGCUAGGACGGUCUUGAUCUCCUGACCUCGUGAUCCGCCUGCCUCAGCGUCCCAAAGGGCUGGGAUUACAGGUGUGAGCCACCGCGACCAGCCAAUAUGAAUUAUCUUACAUAGCUUUACUAAACCCUUAGUCAAGUGCAAGGUAAACAUAAUGGCAAUAUAAUUGAUUCUAACAAGAAGGAACCAAACAAAAAAAUUUUUUUUAGACAGAGUCUUGCUCUGUUGCCCAGGCUGGAGUGCAGUGGCAUAAUCACAGCUCACUGUGGCCACAAACUCCUGAGUUCAAGCCAUCGUCCCACCUCAACCUCUCAAGUAGCUGGGACCACAGGCACACACUACUAUGCUUGGCUAAUUUUUAAAUUUUUUGUAGAGAGGGGGUGUCCCUACCUUGCCCAGGCUGGUUUUGAACUCCUGUGCUUAAGCAAUCCUCCCACCUUAACCUGCCAAAUUGUUGGGAUUACAGGCGUGAGCCACCACACUCAGCCAAAAACUUUUUUUUGGGGGGGUGGGGGGGACGGGGUCUCCCUCUGUUGCCCAGACUGGAGUGCAGUGGCACAAUCUUGGAUCACUGCAGCCUCAAACUCCCUGAGCUCAAGUGAUCCUCCCACCUCAGCCUCCCAAGUAGCUGGGACUAAAGGCACAUGCCACUAUGCCUGGCUAAUUUUUGUAUUUUUUGGAGAGACAGGGUCUGGCCAUUUUGCCCACACUGGUAUUGAACUCCUGGGCUCAGGUGAUCCACCCGCCUCAGCCUCCCAAAGUGCUAGGAUUACAGGCAUGGGCCACUGUGCUCAACCAAAAAUAAUUUUUUAAUUAUCAAGAACAUUUGAAAUAUAAAAUUAUAUCCUGUAUUUUUUUGUUGUUGUUGUUAAUUGAGACAGGGUCUUGCUCUGUGGCCCAGGCUGGAGUGCAGUGGUACAAUCAUAGCUCACUGCAGCCUCGAACUCCUGGGCUCCAAGGAUCCUCCUGCCUCAGCCUCUCAAGUAGCUGGGACUACAGGAAUGCACCACCGUGUCUAGCUAACUUUAAUUAUUUUGCUUUUGUAGAGACAGGAUCUGGCUAUGUUGACCAGCCUGGUUUCCAACUCCUGGCCUCAAGCAAUCCUCCUGCCUCAGCCUCCCAAAGUGUUGGGAUGAUAGGCAUGAGUCACUGUGCCUUCCAAUCCUCUUGUUUUGUUUUGUUUUGUUUUGUUUUGUUUUGUUUUGUUUUGUUUUGUUGAGACAGGGUUUCACCAUGUUGCCCAGGCUGGUCUUGAACUCCUGGACUCACGCAAUCCUCCCACCUUGGCCUCCCAAAGUACUAGGAUUACAGGCGUGAGCCACGAUUCCCGGCCAAUCCUCUGUUUUUAAUAGUGAACUCGCCCUGGUGAAUAAUAUAACUUAAGAUGUUAGCUAAUCAUAGUAGUGUGUAUGUAUAAUUUAAAACUAUA
This 5292-nucleotide long non-coding RNA is filed under the name Homo sapiens (human). RNAcentral describes it as "non-protein coding lnc-CUL2-3:11". The record is from RNAcentral. Lineage: Eukaryota; Metazoa; Chordata; Mammalia; Primates; Hominidae.